CCGUCUUUAGCUCAGUUGGAAGAGCGUGAGACUGUAAUGGGAUCCCUACAACCAAUCUCAAUGUCACCCGUUCGAGCCGGGUAAGACGGA
Favolaschia claudopus is the source of this 90-nucleotide non-coding RNA. The record is from the annotation of a GenBank genome assembly. Lineage: Eukaryota; Fungi; Basidiomycota; Agaricomycetes; Agaricales; Mycenaceae.